CUGGCGGGGGGGACGGGCGCGCGGCCGUGCGGGGCCCCGCCUGGCGCGUGCCCGCGUCCUCCCGCUCCGUGCUGAGGCGGCGCUGCGGGCCCCGCGGGGAGGGCCCGUCCGCGGCGGCACCGGCUGCUGCCCCGCCGCAUCGCCCCGCGGACCGGGCCCGCCCGGGCCAUCCCAGCCGUGUGCGCCGCGCCGUGAGGGGCCUGCUGGGCGGGGAGUGCGACCCUCAUGAGGCCUUUCGCGUGGGAGUGUCGUCGUCGCCCCCGCAGCGUGGGUCACCGCACGGGAAGAGGUACUCUGGCUGCGGUGGGUUCUGAAGAAUGCUUGUUUGACGGCGGGGCGUCGGGGACGAAGUCUGAGUCAUGCACGACCCCGCAGAUUUCAAAGGAAAAACAUGUCGUUCCUGCUGGGGAGGAACGUUUGGAUUUCUUCUGCGGCCUGCAGAGGAACCACAGUGGAAGCAGGAACUACAGUAGGAGUGUUAAAAGGUAACUAGGUCCACAGAUGAGGAUCUGGAGGAAUGGUUCAAGAUGCAGCUUGUCCCAGCUCAGAUGCAUUACACAGACUUGCAGACUGCUGCUGAGGCUGAUCUGGACAUGUGGUGCUGUACUGUCUGAAAGACCGUGCCAGUGAAACAGCUGGUCAUUUUUUGGCAGAUCUUCUUCAUAGUGACAUCCUCAGAGUGAUUUGAUGAGGAAAAGCUAAAUUGUGUCUGUCGCCUGUUAAAAACAUGUCCCGGGAAGGAAAACUGCAGCAGGUAUCUCUGUAAGUAUCAUUCAGUCCCAAAUUCCAGGCUAUUAUUUUUUUUUAAACCAGAACUCCCAGUCCAUCAUUAGCAUCUCAACAGAUGGAUUCCUGGAAGAUGCCUGCAGUAUCGACAUUAUCAGACUCGUAACUGCCCCAUACAUGGUCUUGCCCCAAACCCAAGAAGUUUACUGCACAGCCAGGUUUAUCAGGAAAACACAGACAAGUUGACUUGCAGCCUGAGUGCACCCCAGGGGGGGUUGUUCUGAGAGGCCUGGAAGAAUUCGGGCAAGGUGUGGCUCUCUCACUACUAAAAAAUACCUUUGUUUUACUUCUAGGA
Long non-coding RNA from Apus apus (common swift), 1081 nucleotides. RefSeq lists it as uncharacterized. Lineage: Eukaryota; Metazoa; Chordata; Aves; Apodiformes; Apodidae. The transcript is spliced from 3 exons. The record is from RefSeq and is a predicted model, not a curated record.